CUUACUGGUUUGGUCGCUUUAUUAAUUGAUCAAGAAUGAGAAAGAAAUUCGGAAUCUGUUUUGCUUGUUUUUUAGUCUUGACUUCAACUAUGCCGGUGCUACUUAUUUUGAUCUGAUUUAAUUGAAAAAAAAAAAUAACUUUUUCUUUAACACCAAUGAUGGAUUUUCAAGUUUGAGAUUUGAGGUGAUCAUAAUUGGCAAGUAAUUAAAUUGAUUCUUUCAAGUAGUGGUUGCUUAGUUACCAAAAAAGAAAAGUCUGGAUUUGGAUGCUUAAUGAGGCAUUAGGUCUUACAGAUUUCAAAUCUUUAUAAGGUUUGAUAUGAAGAAAAUUAGUGGGAGGGUGAUCCAGAUAUAUGGCAACUUAGUUAGCUUCUUGCGGAAAUGCAUUUUUUUCAUUCUUUCUGUUGGUGCCAUCCCUAAUCAUAUUGCAUUCAUCAUGGAUGGGAAUCGGAGAUACACAAAGAGGUGGAAUUUGAUGGAAGGAACUGGCCAUAAAGUUGGGUUUUUGGCUCUCAUGUCUAUGCUCAAGUACUGUUACGAAUUUGGUGUGAGAUAUGUAACAAUAUAUGCCUUCAGCAUUGACAAUUUCAGGCGAAGUCCUGAAGAAGUUCAAUCUUUGAUGGACCUGAUGCUAGAAAAGAUUGAAGAGUUAAUCAAGGAAGAGAGCAUUGUCAAUCAUUAUGGUGUUAGAGUUUACUUUUCUGGGAACCUGAAACUCUUGAGUGAACCAGUUAGGUUGGCAGCUGAGAGAGCUAUGCUUGCCACCGCUAAGAAUUCCAAAGCAGUUUUGUCUAUUUGCAUUGCUUACACUUCCACCAAUGAGAUAGUGCAUGCCAUUCAAGAAUCAUGCGAAGAAAAAUGGGAUGAAAUUACUGUACUGAAUUCAAGUGGAGCAGGUUAUGGUUUAAUCAGACUCGGAGGGAAUGAACAUGAUGAAAGGGAUUACCUUAUAAAACUUACUGAUAUCGAAAGCCAUAUGUAUAUGGCAGUUGCUCCUGAUCCUGAUAUCAUAAUACGUACAUCUGGUGAGACACGUCUGAGCAAUUUUCUUUUAUGGCAGAGUGCAAACUGUUAUUUGUAUUCUCCUUCAGUGCUUUGGCCAGAGAUUGGUCUUCGUCAAUUUCUAUGGGCCAUAUUGAAUUUUCAGCGGAUUCACUUUUACUUUGACAACAAAAGGAAGCAGUUGUAAAAUCCUUCCAUAUGAUGAUUUGCUUUGUUUAUGGGAAGUUUUUUAUCAUCUUUGGUAAUGGUAACAGAUUCCACCAUAAGCUUGGACUUGCUUUUGGUACCCUUACUGUUGUUAUAUACCUUAGUAUACAAAAAUCAAUUGAUUACAUUUGCAGGAACUUCUUACAUGCUUGGAUGUCUAUGAACAAGCAAAGUGCUUCUGAGUUGUAUACUGACAGACAGUAAUACGCAAUAGGCUAAGAGGAUGGAGCAAAGAAUUUUAUUACACUUUGUUGGGGGUUUAUGAUUGGGUCUGUAACCCAUGCAAUGAUCUGUUUUCAUCUAGAACUGAUGAUUGUGCUAUUUCUUUCAUUUUUCUUUUUCUCUUUCAUUUUUUGUCCUUUAUUAUUAAAGCUGAGAUAUGCAUGUGCUUGGUAGGCUUAACAUGUGUUCAGCUUUUAUGUAAAACUGCAUUGAUACCUGAUCGAACUUGCAUUGCAUAAGUUAUACUCUUACUUGGACAGUUUCUUUGAUUUUAUAUUUAACCAUCUACAAGAAACCCAAGGCUGAAUAGGUAUACCUUUCAACUUCAUAUUUUGUUGGAAAUAAGUAUGUUGCUUUCAAAGUUACUGAAAUUAGUAGUAUGUCUUAAUGUGGCUUGAUAUUAUCUUGGUUGAAAUUUUCCUAUUAUAAGUUAGUUUAACAGCAAUAGUGUAUUACUAAAAUUGGCAUUCUUGUUUUAAGAAUAUACCAUUCAAGUUGUUCACCGCCAUCAAAGUUUUCCGUUAUGUUGAUGGCUUAAGAUGCAUCUGCAGAGGGCCUUCUGAUGUCUCAUGCAGAGCAGGUUUGUUUUUUGUAUUGAGUAGCUGCAAAUAAUGUGAGAGGGGCAGCCAGGUGCAUUGUACUUGGAACAUGGAAUUGCCUUCAUGGUAAAAGGAUAGUAUUUAAAAUAUCUGGUGCAUGCAUAUUAAUGGUAACAUUCUCUUUCUUGAAAUUCCUUGCCUUUUCCUUUCUGCUAGAAAUUAUCAGGACCUAUCGCCAAUCAAUUACAAAAAUUCAUUUUUUUUAUUUCCAUAUUCUCAAUAGAAGAAACGUUUUUCCCGCUGUUCAUAAUGAUCCUUUCAGCCCUGUCCCAGCAGCCCAACUUUUUCUUGUUUUGAUUUUGUGGCGUUUUGCAUUUGGUUUGUUCUGCUUCGGCUUUCUGUUAUUCUAAUGGUACUUUAAAAUUAUCACUAACAUAGUGAACAAACGCCAAGUUUUCAUUCGUUUUAUCAAUUUACUGUUGUUCAGCUUUUGGCCAAGUUUCUCUUUGAUAAUUUGAGGAAGAUGGCUGUGCCAAUUUUCUAUGGAAGGUUUAUCUUGAUGUGGUCCAUGAAGAAACAAAACUAUAGAGGGAUUCGGGUUAGUAAUUUCUUAGCCCCCUAGGUGAAUUAUUACUGUGGGGCAACCCAUUAGUGUAUUCUAAUGCAGUACCUGGCAUUAUCUUAUGCGAAUCAAAGACAUUGUUACAUAAUUUAAGUGCUAGGUAGAAUAAAAAAGACCAUCAUUAUCAUGUCAAUAUCCAACUACUGUAUAAGCAUAAAAUUAUGGUAAUGGAUUCCAGCUAAGAAUAGCAACACCUCGUGUUUUUCAAGUAGAGAGCUUUUACAAAGCAAAAGUAGUUCAAGCACAUGCGUUUCUUUCUCGAAGAAGAGAUCAAAUCUCGCCAAAUUUAUAGCUCUACGCUCCCUUGUAGCGGCUGUCAUUGACCAUUGUGUCCGUUGAUAACG
This is an RNA transcript of Durio zibethinus, 2936 nucleotides long. It is a transcript of the gene named dehydrodolichyl diphosphate synthase CPT3 pseudogene, with no coding region annotated. The record is from RefSeq and is a predicted model, not a curated record. Lineage: Eukaryota; Viridiplantae; Streptophyta; Magnoliopsida; Malvales; Malvaceae.